AAACUUUCAACAACGGAUCUCUUGGUUCUCGCAACGAUGAAGAACGCAGCGAAAUGCGAUACGUAAUGUGAAUUGCAGGUUUUCGUGAAUCAUCGAAUCUUUGAACGCAUAUUGCGCCCUCUGGUAUUCCGGAGGGCAUGCCUGUUUGAGCGUCAUUU
Molecule: ribosomal RNA, 158 nt
Filed under: Petasospora mycetangii
Lineage: Eukaryota; Fungi; Ascomycota; Saccharomycetes; Phaffomycetales; Wickerhamomycetaceae
Also listed under: 1 other name
Description: [Candida] mycetangii 5.8S ribosomal RNA
Rfam family: 5.8S ribosomal RNA
About the family: 5.8S ribosomal RNA (5.8S rRNA) is a component of the large subunit of the eukaryotic ribosome. It is transcribed by RNA polymerase I as part of the 45S precursor that also contains 18S and 28S rRNA.
Source: RNAcentral